CCAGGAUAAAGCAACUGAAGUUUUGGGGGGAAAUAGAAUCUGCUAUAAUUUAAGAGGUCAGUGUGUUUGCAUUUUCAAUGUGAUGGAUCAGACAGAUGUUGCUACUUACAAGAUUCCUCUUCAUGACACUAAGCAGAUUGGUUUCCACAUAACAUCUUUCCCAGCAGUUUUCCCUUAAGAAACUCUAACCACAGAUAUACAAACUACUACAUCCUUUCUUGAACAAGAUAUUAACCUCAUUUGGACAUUCUAAAAAUUACUGAAUACUAAUAUCACCAGAGAAAUUGUGUAAAAGUUCAGUUCCUUAGAAACAAAAAUAAAAUUACAACAUUGUUCUUGCUAAGACACUUAAUCCCCCAAAAUGAGAUCACUGAAUAUUUAGUGUUAUCACUUGUUUCCUGACCUGAGAUUCCCUUCUAAAGGUUAGAUUAACCUUUAGAUUAACACAAUGAAUACACAUCUAAAAUAAUUCCUUUUUGGUUAUUUAUGAGAAUAUAAAAGGAAGAAUUCUCCAGGUUCUCCAUUCCCUCCAAUCUUUUUUUCAGUAAUAUAAACACUCCAGGAAAUUCAAAUGAACAGGAAGACUUAAACUAUAGACCUUGAAUCUGAUCUGUUAGGAUGAGAAGACAAUGGAGAAAGAAGUGUGACUUUGUCUUGCUUUCCAGCAGCCACUCAGGACUCACCAGCUCCACAACGUUUAUUUAUCCCUUUGUAGAGUGGCAGCCUCCACUGCUGCUCCAAGAUGAGUUUUGUCUCCAGAUGUUUAGAAAUGUCAUAAAGACAUGAAGAAUCAGGGAUUUCACCAGCAUAAUGAUGAACAUUUAUGGGGGAAAGCGAAUGGGAGGUGGUAUUGUGGUGGCUGGAAAGGAGCACAAGGAAAGCUUCUGGAAUUCCAUUAGUUCUGUCUCUUUAUCUGGAUGUCAGUUACAAAGGUGUGUUCAGUUGGCAAAAAUUCAGCAAUCUGUACACUUAAGACAUGUGUCCUAAGUUCCAUACUGUUAAAUCAAGUUUCACCUAAAGCUGUCUCCUUAUACGUUUUAAGUUUGGAGUAAAGGUUUUUCUGUACAUCGUGAACUAUAAACAAGUGGAGGUGUAAACAGACCGUAGCCUACACUUGUGCCAAUCACUGAGUUUUGGUCAAUCAAACGUAGUCAACUGUUCAAACUGUGUUAAAUAAGGCAAAUGCCAAGCUGUAACCAAUCCAGCUGUUUCUGUACCUCACUUGCGUUUUCUACAAGUCGCUUCAUUUUUCUUUUUCUGUCUGUAAAUCUACUUCCACCAAGUGGCUGCGCGGGAGUCUCCGAGCUGGAAAGGCUCUGAUUCGUGAAUCCUUCAUUGCUCGGUUAAACUUAUUUAAAUUUAAUUCAGCUGAAGUUUUUCUUUCAUCAAAAG
Molecule: long non-coding RNA, 1392 nt
Filed under: Homo sapiens (human)
Lineage: Eukaryota; Metazoa; Chordata; Mammalia; Primates; Hominidae
Description: HSALNT0079776
Source: RNAcentral